AUCCCCUUGCAGAGCUAACGCCGUUUUAAACGAGUGCCGGAGAUAAGCGCCGGGAAAGGGGAUGAAACAU
Molecule: non-coding RNA, 70 nt
Organism: Serratia sp. Leaf50
Lineage: Bacteria; Pseudomonadati; Pseudomonadota; Gammaproteobacteria; Enterobacterales; Yersiniaceae
Source: Rfam